GAUGAACGCUGGCGGCGUGCCUAAUGCAUGCAAGUCGAGCGAACGGACGAGAAGCUUGCUUCUCUGAUGUUAGCGGCGGACGGGUAAGUAACACGUGGAUAACCUACCUAUAAGACUGGGAUGACUUCGGGAAACCGGAGCUAAUACCGGAUAAUAUUUUGAACCGCAUGGUUCAAAAGUGAAAGACGGUCUUGCUGUCACUUAUAGAUGGAUCCGCGCUGCAUUAGCUAGUUGGUAAGGUAACGGCUUACCAAGGCAACGAUGCAUAGCCGACCUGAGAGGGUGAUCGGCCACACUGGAACUGAGACACGGUCCAGACUCCUACGGGAGGCAGCAGUAGGGAAUCUUCCGCAAUGGGCGAAAGCCUGACGGAGCAACGCCGCGUGAGUGAUGAAGGUCUUCGGAUCGUAAAACUCUGUUAUUAGGGAAGAACAUAUGUGUAAGUAACUGUGCACAUCUUGACGGUACCUAAUCAGAAAGCCACGGCUAACUACGUG
RNAcentral lists this ribosomal RNA (497 nucleotides) under uncultured bacterium. RNAcentral's name for it is "partial 16S ribosomal RNA". It matches the Rfam family "Bacterial small subunit ribosomal RNA", at positions 28 to 507 of the family's 1533-position model. The record is from RNAcentral.